RNAcentral lists this transfer-messenger RNA (210 nucleotides) under Burkholderiales bacterium. Its description in RNAcentral is "partial transfer-messenger RNA". It matches the Rfam family "transfer-messenger RNA", at positions 1 to 189 of the family's 374-position model. Rfam says of the family: Bacterial tmRNA, also known as 10Sa RNA or SsrA, is named for its dual tRNA and mRNA-like properties. Its role is to liberate the mRNA from a stalled ribosome. The record is from RNAcentral. Lineage: Bacteria; Pseudomonadati; Pseudomonadota; Betaproteobacteria; Burkholderiales.
GGGCCCGACCUGGUUUCGACGGGAGUUCUGAAGUGCGCUUGGGGCAUGCCGAGGCGGUAUACCUCGUUAAUCCUGCUAAACGCAUUUAAUUGCAAACGAUAGCUUCUACGGCGAAAGCCGUCUCGCAGCCUAAUUAAAAACUAGGUUCGAGUGUUGCAGCAGGGGACGUGGACCCUGCGCCGAGCCGGGCAACUGGUAAAGCAGCAACAU